UACAGAGGGUGCGAGCGUUAAUCGGAAUUACUGGGCGUAAAGCGUGCGUAGGUGGUUUGUUAAGUCAGGUGUGAAAUCCCCGGGCUUAACCUGGGAAUGGCAUUUGGGACUGCAAGGCUGGAGUGCGGCAGAGGAGACUGGAAUUCCUGGUGUAGCAGUGAAAUGCGUAGAUAUCAGGAGGAACACCGAUGGCGAAGGCAGGUCUCUGGGCUGACACUGACGCUCAUGCACGAAAGCGUGGGGAGCAAACAGG
This 253-nucleotide ribosomal RNA is filed under the name uncultured bacterium. Its description in RNAcentral is "partial 16S ribosomal RNA". It matches the Rfam family "Bacterial small subunit ribosomal RNA", at positions 524 to 776 of the family's 1533-position model. The record is from RNAcentral.